CCCUUAGAUGUUCUGGGCCGCACGCGCGCUACACUGAUGCAUUCAACGAGUCUAAAACCUGCUCUGAUAGGGGUGGGUAAUCUUUUGAAUGUGCAUCGUGAUUGGGAUAGAUGAUUGCAAUUUUUCAUCUUCAACGAGGAAUGCCUAGUAAACGCAAGUCAUCAGCUUGCAUUGAUUACGUCCCUGCCCUUUGUACACACCGCCCGUCGCUCCUACCGAUUGAAUGAUCCGAUGAAUAUCAUGGAUUGAGGAUUAUAGCAGGUUCGCCUGUCUUGAUCUUCGAGAAGUGAAGUAAAUCUUAUCAUUUAGAGGAAGGAGGAGUCGUAACA
This 329-nucleotide ribosomal RNA is filed under the name uncultured eukaryote. RNAcentral describes it as "partial 18S ribosomal RNA". It matches the Rfam family "Eukaryotic small subunit ribosomal RNA", at positions 1470 to 1796 of the family's 1831-position model. The record is from RNAcentral.